RNAcentral lists this ribosomal RNA (484 nucleotides) under uncultured bacterium. Its description in RNAcentral is "partial 16S ribosomal RNA". It matches the Rfam family "Bacterial small subunit ribosomal RNA", at positions 29 to 507 of the family's 1533-position model. The record is from RNAcentral.
AUUGAACGCUGGCGGCAUGCUUUACACAUGCAAGUCGAACGGCAGCGCGGGCUUCGGCCUGGCGGCGAGUGGCGAACGGGUGAGUAAUACAUCGGAACGUGCCCAGUAGUGGGGGAUAGCUCGGCGACAGCCGGCUUAAUACCGCAUACGACCUGAGGGUGAAAGCGGGGGAUCUUCGGACCUCGCGCUAUUGGAGCGGCCGAUGGCAGAUUAGCUAGUUGGUGGGGUAAAGGCCUACCAAGGCGACGAUCUGUAGCUGGUCUGAGAGGACGACCAGCCACACUGGGACUGAGACACGGCCCAGACUCCUACGGGAGGCAGCAGUGGGGAAUUUUGGACAAUGGGCGAAAGCCUGAUCCAGCAAUGCCGCGUGUGUGAUGAAGGCCUUCGGGUUGUAAAGCACUUUUGGCGGGAACGAAAAGGACUGUGCCAAUACCACGGUUCGAUGACGGUACCCGCAGAAUAAGCACCGGCUAACUACGUG